This 834-nucleotide long non-coding RNA is filed under the name Fukomys damarensis (Damara mole-rat). RNAcentral describes it as "lncRNA (ENSFDAG00000032162.1)". Lineage: Eukaryota; Metazoa; Chordata; Mammalia; Rodentia; Bathyergidae. The record is from RNAcentral.
UUCAUCAGUCCAUACAGAGUGAAGAAAGUUUUAACCACUGCAUUGGGUCUUAUAAUCUUGCUUAAUUAUCUGUCUGGGACACUAUCCUUGAAUUUCUUAAGGACAAACAACACAGUACAGAGAGGGUACUCGACAAAGUGGUAAUAAAUGACUACUGCAGAAAUAAAUGCUAGUGCUUUGUAUGUAGUGUCCGGGUGCUAAAUGUUUGAGAAAGAAAGGGUGCGGCAUAAAGAGGGCGUGUCAUAACCGAGGGGCCACCGAGGGCGGGGAUCAGGGCAGAGUCACCCACAGGGGCGGUGUGUGUGAAAUAAGCGGAAGCAAGGCCUCCCACAUGUAACUGUGGGUUGGAACCAGAGCGGUAACUGGUUCUCAGUUUACCUUGGCCCACAACUGCGUUUGUGAACCUACUCAGCUGCUGGGAGAUGCAGUCGGAGACGGCUUCCAAAAUGGGGCUGGUUGUUAUGUUCCAGAAGUCUGCAGUUUCACAGCUUCCUUAGCUUGCCAGGGCAGAUGCUGUAAUUUGGUGUUCUUCGUACACAAAGGUAGAACUCUUUCAGCCUUUCAUCAACAAAUGGGAGGCAUGAGAUCUCUGCAGUGGUGCAGUUCAAUGUCAUUUACUGAAACUGGGUGUCUGAAAGGCAAGGAAACAAAGACAAACGUGAAAGGAGCUUUGUGACGCAAAAAUAUGUGUUGGAAAAAAACAAUAAAUGAAGGAACAUGCGAACUCUUAAAACAUAUUAUUCCUGUACCACUGAUUUAUUGCAGGAAUCUUCUAUUUAGUGAAUACUUUAUGGGUAUCUUAUUAUAUGGCAGUUGAUGGGGCAAUGAGAGAAC